AAUGUUUUGCAGGGGGACACGAUCGGUGUUGAGAAGGUAAAACCUGACCCUUAGAACCUGAUCCGUUAAUACGGGCGUAGGGAGCAACGUACAAUUUACA
This 100-nucleotide non-coding RNA is filed under the name Ureibacillus massiliensis. RNAcentral describes it as "Lysinibacillus massiliensis TPP sequence". It matches the Rfam family "TPP riboswitch aptamer (THI element)". Rfam says of the family: Vitamin B(1) in its active form thiamin pyrophosphate (TPP) is an essential coenzyme that is synthesised by coupling of pyrimidine and thiazole moieties in bacteria. The previously detected thiamin-regulatory element, thi box was extended, resulting in a new, highly conserved RNA secondary structure, the THI element, which is widely distributed in eubacteria and also occurs in some archaea. Analysis of operon structures identified a large number of new candidate thiamin-regulated genes, mostly transporters, in various prokaryotic organisms. Lineage: Bacteria; Bacillati; Bacillota; Bacilli; Caryophanales; Caryophanaceae. The record is from RNAcentral. RNAcentral also lists the same sequence under 1 other name.